Molecule: ribosomal RNA, 1221 nt
Filed under: Triticum aestivum (bread wheat)
Lineage: Eukaryota; Viridiplantae; Streptophyta; Magnoliopsida; Poales; Poaceae
Description: partial small subunit ribosomal RNA
Source: RNAcentral
AUGUGUAGUAUAAAGAAAGAUACACACCUGGCAGAACUUAUUCAAAAUACAUCUCUUAUUGUUUGGGAUGAAGCAUCGGUAAAUCAUAAAUAUUGUUUUGAAGCACUAGACCGCACUCUCAGGGAUAUAAUGUCAGAUACUAGACCUAAUGCUGAAAACAUGCAGUUUGGAGGCAUCACUGUAGUUCUUGGUGGGGAUUUUUGUCAAACACUUCUGGUAAUAAAACAUGCAACAAGACAACAAAUUUUAAAAUCUUGCAUUCUUAACUCUUAUUUGUGGAACCAGUGCACACUUCUUCAAUUGAAUGAAAAUAUGAGGCUGUCCUCAGCAUCUCUGUCCAUCUCAAAGAGAGGAGCAUUAAAGAAUUUUUUUGGGUGGCUAUUACGAGUUGGAAAUGGCACUAAGCCUUUUAUUCCUAUUCCAAAUGACCCCAACAACAUAUUUAUAGAGAUACCCCAGCAUCUCCUUUUGUCCGCAGAGUCUAGAAAUAUAGAUGGAUUGAUUUCAUUUGUCUAUGACUCAGGAUGUGAAUCUGCUAACAAUACAUCAUAUUUGUGUGAUCAUGCAAUUCUUGCACCCACCAAUGAUGUUGUUUCUAAAAUAAAUACCAGAAUGAUUUCUCAGCUACCAACAAGUGAAAUGUCAUAUUAUAGUGCAGAUUCAAUUGACGACAGCUGCCCUAAUCAUUCUUCUCUAGAGGUAUUAUAUCCGAUUGUGUUUCUAAACAAGCUUGAGAUACCUGGUCUUCCAGACCAUGUGCUGCAUUUGAAAAUUGUUGUUCCUAUCAUGCUACUUCGUAAUGAUCCAUCAAGAGGGCUUUGUAAUGGCACUAGACUCAUUGUUACACAACUAAUAGGUUGUGUAAUAGAAGGACAAACCAUAACAGGAAAAGCUAUAGGUUCAAGAGUAUAUAUUCCUAGAAUUUUCAGUACGUCAGCUCAGUCUAAGUGUCCUUUCAAACUGAGGCGUCGCCAGUUUCCUGUUCGCCUUUCAUAUGCUAUGACAAUAAACAAAAGUCAAGGCCAAACACUGAACCGAGUUGGUCUCUACUUGCCAUCUCCUAUUUUCUCCCACGGUCAAUUAUAUGUAGCAUUUUCAAGAGUUACAUCACCAGAGGGCUUGCGAGUUCUGAUUGAAAACAGUCCAGUUUCUUAAGAACAGUGCACACAUAAUGUAGUAUAUGCUGAGGUAUUCAGUCAAAUAAAUAGGCAUAGAACCUAG